Molecule: ribosomal RNA, 497 nt
Filed under: uncultured bacterium
Lineage: Bacteria
Description: partial 16S ribosomal RNA
Rfam family: Bacterial small subunit ribosomal RNA
Source: RNAcentral
GAUGAACGCUGGCGGCGUGCCUAAUACAUGCAAGUCGAGCGAACGGACGAGAAGCUUGCUUCUCUGAUGUUAGCGGCGGACGGGUGAGUAACACGUGGAUAACCUACCUAUAAGACUGGGAUAACUUCGGGAAACCGGAGCUAAUACCGGAUGAUAUUUUGAACCGCAUGGUUCAAAAGUGAAAGACGGUCUUGCUGUCACUUAUAGAUGGAUCCGCGCUGCAUUAGCUAGUUGGUAAGGUAACGGCUUACCAAGGCAACGAUGGAUAGCCGACCUGAGAGGGUGAUCGGCCACACUGGAACUGAGACACGGUCCAGACUCCUACGGGAGGCAGCAGUAGGGAAUCUUCCGCAAUGGGCGAAAGCCUGACGGAGCAACGCCGCGUGAGUGAUGAAGGUCUUCGGAUCGUAAAACUCUGUUAUUAGGGAAGAACGUAUGUGUAAGUAACUGUGCACAUCUUGACGGUACCUAAUCAGAAAGCCACGGCUAACUACGUG